CCUACGGGAGGCACCAGUGAGGAAUAUUUGUCAAUGGACGAGAGUCUGAACCAGCCAAGUAGCGUGAAGGAUGACUGCCCUAUGGGUUGUAAACUUCUUUUAUAUGGGAAUAAAAUGUUCCACGUGUGGGAUUUUGUAUGUACCAUAUGAAUAAGGAUCGGCUAACUCCGUGCCAGCAGCCGCGGUAAUACGGAGGAUCCGAGCGUUAUCCGGAUUUAUUGGGUUUAAAGGGAGCGUAGGUGGAUUGUUAAGUCAGUUGUGAAAGUUUGCGGCUCAACCGUAAAAUUGCAGUUGAAACUGGCAGUCGUGAGUACAGUAGAGGUGGGCGGAAUUCGUGGUGUAGCGGUGAAAUGCUUAGAUAUCACGAAGAACUCCGAUUGCGAAGGCAGCUCACUGGACUGCAACUGACACUGAGGCUCGAAAGUGUGGGUAUCAAACAGGAUUAGAUACCCCUGUAGUC
RNAcentral lists this ribosomal RNA (460 nucleotides) under uncultured bacterium. RNAcentral's name for it is "partial 16S ribosomal RNA". It matches the Rfam family "Bacterial small subunit ribosomal RNA", at positions 338 to 795 of the family's 1533-position model. The record is from RNAcentral.